UCAGAACCAACGUCCGGACCACCCCGGUCCAGCCAAUGUGGAGCACGAGGGACAUCACAGGACGAACCAGACCUUCACUCGGGGCAGAGCAAGGAUGGGGUAGUGUGGGAUCAGCCGGCAAAAGAGAGUCAGGUGACCUCCCAGGAGAUCAGAUGAGAUUUGCUUUUGGAGAAGUGCAGGCUCAGCGGACACAGAGGCAUCACUCAUCGAUGCAAGAACUCCACGCAGCAUUCUGCCAAACGGCUCAGAGUUUCAGGAUAAAGCGAAACCCCGGGGACGGAGCCUUUCCGGCCAAAAUCAGCUUUGGCACAAAAGCAGGAAGUGAGAAGCCCACGUGCUCAGGCACGAACACCUGCUACCCGGCCACCACUUCCACGGCAAGUCCAGGCUCUGUGAGCAGCGCUGCGGCCCCCGGGCCUUGGGGAGGACGAGCCAACCCUUGCCGGGGGAGCACUGCAGAGAGAGUCUGACAGCCUUUAAAAGACGUGACGAGGAAGAACCGCUCCCCGUGGAUGUUACGCACGUGGAAAAAGGCCAGGACCAGAAACUCCGUCAGGAAGAAGGGUUAUCCAAGGUAAGCAGCGCCCUCCGUAAGGGGGAACCCUUGACGGCAACCUCCCCGCCUUCAGAGUAAGAUUGCGAGCUUGAACACCGGGGAGGUGGAUGGGACAGGGGGGAGCCACAGCUAUGGGAUCUAUCUGAAAGCAGCUUUCAGCUUCCUUGCAAAAGUUUCCCCAGCCAGGGGAAGGAUCCACGCCUACCAAACAAAGCGAGUGCUUCGGAGUCCCAGGCAAGCACAAUUCUCCCGAUGAAAGAAACUUCGGUGAAUCUCAGGCCCAGACCCUGGGAGGGCGGGACGUCAGCAGCUUAUUUGAGAACGUGCCGCCUCCAAGCACAGCAGUGAGGAAGCAGUGAGAGGCGGCAGAUGGGAAGGGGUGAGGGUGGGGACAGAAGCGCCACCCCGGCAGCUGUGGUGUCAUAAACACGUAGCAGCCGAUGGUGUAGACACGGGAGUCUCGAGCAUCUGAUUAACCGAGAAGCAGCUGUGGUAAUUUGUGAACUAACUUUAAAAAAAGAUCCAUCGCUUCUCGGCCUUUUGGCUGAGAUCGAGUGUAAAAAAAGAUCCCAAUACAGCAUUAUAUUCAACUGUUGGGUAGGCUGCGACAACAGUCAAUGGGCUAGGGAGGCCACCAGAGCGGAGACGCUCAGCCUUGGCCUGCUGGCGUGGGAGCACAGGGCCACACUAGAGGCAGAACCGGAUUAUAAUGAGGCCCUACCUGAGACUUCCAAGAAACAUUCCCUACAACUGGGUCCAAGACAGAUCCACCCAAUAUUUAAGUCCAGCCUUAACGAAGGCCUGUAUAGACCCAGACUUAGUAAUUUGAGUCUAAGAAGAGACUCCUAAAACUUCCAAUGAACUUGUUUGCUUGAACUCUCCCAUUACAGCCCAAAUAGAAAGGAUACGCCAUCUAAUCAUGUGGGCUUUUCAACUCAGCCCAAAUAUGUGGCAGAUAAGGACCAGACGAAAUUUCCCUUGCUAGCAUCACAUAAAGGAAUCCCUCCUAGCAGAAUCACUUCAUUAUAAUUCCUUCCUGUCAACCGAUAAUUGUACCAUUCUACACAACAUAUAUCAUUCUGCGGCUGGUGUCCUGUAAGAUUCUCAAGAAGUCAUGGCUGCUUUGUCUCCCUAAAUUGAGGGCCCACCUUUGGUCUCAUUUGAGAACAUCGAUCUGUAUGCAGCUGGUGCUUAUGAGGAGGUGUUGGAUGUCUGUUCAAUGAGGGCUAAGUGUAAUGUAACCCAAACGGCUUUGGAAUUCUGUCUCAGCCUCCUCUCUGCAGCCGCCUACUUUUUCUAGGGCAGGGUAAUGGAAAUUAGUUCAAGAAACGGAAAAAGUGUGAUUUCAGUAACUCCACUGAGCUGGUUUCCCUCGGGAAAAGGACAGCUAAACUGACUAUUGCCAGAAAAUAAACAAGUGCUGUGUGCCCUCUAUUAGUUAUUUAAA
This is a long non-coding RNA of Leopardus geoffroyi (Geoffroy's cat), 2003 nucleotides long. RefSeq lists it as uncharacterized. The record is from RefSeq and is a predicted model, not a curated record. Lineage: Eukaryota; Metazoa; Chordata; Mammalia; Carnivora; Felidae. The transcript has 3 exons.